This is a long non-coding RNA of Bubalus bubalis (water buffalo), 378 nucleotides long. RefSeq lists it as uncharacterized. The record is from RefSeq and is a predicted model, not a curated record. Lineage: Eukaryota; Metazoa; Chordata; Mammalia; Artiodactyla; Bovidae. The transcript has 3 exons.
ACUGAGUCCCGUACAAACUGCGAUGUCAGCUGUCUCGCUUAUUGCCAAGGUGAAGGGGGCUCAGGUCUAGUGCUGGGAGCAAGGCUGGGAACCAGGUUCCAUGUGGUGUCUCUCAUUAGACGCGCCAGGUUAUCUGAAUCAUGAAUUAUAAGGUCUCAAGCAAAAUGAGACUGCUCUGGAUGUGUACAGUGUCUGGCCCACAGAAGAUACUCAAGACAAAUUUGUUGAAUAAAUGAGUACAUGGACACAAACAUAUACAGGAAACUGUGGCUGGGGAACCACAGGGAGGGAUCCUUUCAUGCUUUGGAGAUGAAGGCAAAGCAUGAAGAAAUGAGUUCUCAAGAAGAGGCGGACGAUGAGAUGAGCUUGGAAGGAGCC